UUGCAGUGAUGUUUGAAUUUCUUCACCUGACUCGCCCGUGGAGAACACACCAAUACGAGCUUUUUAACACUGAGCAAU
Molecule: small nucleolar RNA, 78 nt
Organism: Candoia aspera
Lineage: Eukaryota; Metazoa; Chordata; Lepidosauria; Squamata; Candoiidae
Source: RefSeq, a predicted model, not a curated record